UCUGGUUGAUCCUGCCAGUAGUGAUAUGCUUGUUUCAAAGAUUAAGCCAUGCAUGUCUAAGUAUAAGCGAACUUAUACAGUGAAACUGCGGAUGGCUCAUUAAAACAGUUUGAAUUUAUUUGAUGAAUGUAUGAGAAUACUACUUGGAUAACCGUAGUAAUUCUAGAGCUAAUACAUGCAACGACGCCCGACCGUUUCACUACGGAAGGGCUGUAUUUAUUGGAUACCAAAACCAUCCUUCCCUCGGGAAGUUUUGUUUGAUGAUUCACAAUAACUGAUCGGAUCGCCACUGUGGUGGCGACAGGUCAUUCAACAUUCUGCCCUAUCAGCUUUCGAUGGUUGUGUAGUGGACAACCAUGGCCAUAACGGGUAACGGAGAAUCAGGGUUCGAUUCCGGAGAAGGAGCUUGAGAAUUGGCUACUACAUCUAAGGAAGGCAGCAGGCGCGCAAAUUACCCAAUCCCGAUUCGGGGAGGUAGUGACAAAAAAUAACAAUACCGGGCCUUUUUGGGCUUGGUAAUUGGAAUGAGGGAGAGUUAAACGGACCAUCGAGUAUCCAUUGGAGGGCAAGUCUGGUGCCAGCAGCUGCGGUAAUACCAGCUCCAAUAGCGUAUAUUAAAGUUGUUGCAGUUAAAAAGCUCGUAGUUGGACUUGUGUGCGCUGUCCGCGGGUGGCCUGCGCCCAAAAGGGCGUUUCGGUUCGGCCCCGGUGGCGCCUUGAAAUCUGCAGCUGGGGGGACGUUGGCCUUAACUGGUCGGCGACCGCACGCCGGCUGCUCGGUUACUGUGAGAAAAUUAGAGUGUUCAAGGCAGGCAUUGGGUGCAAUUGAAUACAUUAGCACGGAAUAAUAAAAUAUGGCUCCUGCCGUAUUUUGUUGGUUUUGACUGGUGGGAGUAAUGAUUGAUAGGGACGGUUGGGGGUGCUAGUAUUGAGCGGCCAGAGGUGAAAUUCAUGGAUUCGCUCAAGACUAACUUAUGCGAAAGCAUUCACCAAGGACGUCCUCUUUAAUCAAGAACGAAAGUUGGGGGAUCGAAGACGAUCAGAUACCGUCGUAGUCUCAACCAUAAACUAUGUCGACUUGGGAUCGGCGGUAGUUUUUUCAUUAAGACACUGUCGGGACCACGGGAGAAAUCAAAGUGUCUGGACUCUGGGGGAAGUAUGGUCGCAAGGCUGAAACUUGAAGGAAUUGACGGAAGGGCACCACCAGGAGUGGAGCCU
This 1217-nucleotide ribosomal RNA is filed under the name metagenome. RNAcentral describes it as "SSU rRNA". It matches the Rfam family "Eukaryotic small subunit ribosomal RNA", at positions 1 to 1184 of the family's 1831-position model. The record is from RNAcentral.